UUUAUCUUAUUGGUCGCUAGGAUUAAUUUUGAAUCCUUCUUUUGAUCGGCUAUUCAUUCCUGAUUCUUUAUCUCAAGGAGGAAAUUGAGAGGGCCGUUUCUUCUGGAACCAAUUUUGCGAAAUUUCGCUAAUUCGUAUCCAACCCAUUUGUUAAAACAGAUUUAUUCUUUUGUUUUCAUUGCAAGAUAAUCAAUACCAAAAUUAACAAAGAUCCCGUGUAAAUGUUCUUGAUUCAGCUUGCCAUGGUCAUUUUGGCCAAGAAAAAUUCCAGUUGUAAAACCUAACAUCUCGGCGUUUCUUCAAUUUGCUUCGUAUAUUGGCCAAGGGAGGAACAAAUUAGGACCACUCAUGAUGAUGAUCCUAUGUUUGGAGUACCAAAAGCUCAAGCAUGCAAUGUCUGUUCACCCAGAUAUAAGCUUUGAGAGCAGCCGAUGAUGCUUCAUGAGCUGGGAAAUGACAAAGCUCAUUUAAGAGCACCAAUCAAUGGACCUGUUGAAGAAGAUGAUGGGAAUCCGUUGGGCUCACCGCUGCACAGUCUGUAAUAGUCACACAUGGAGAGCGCGUAUGCAUGCUUAGGUGACGUAGAUACGAUGGACGCAAGCACAGACGAUCAAGAGA
Molecule: long non-coding RNA, 618 nt
Organism: Papaver somniferum (opium poppy)
Lineage: Eukaryota; Viridiplantae; Streptophyta; Magnoliopsida; Ranunculales; Papaveraceae
Exons: 3
Source: RefSeq, a predicted model, not a curated record